UACGGGGGGGGUAAGCGUUGUUCGGAAUUACUGGGCGUAAAGGGCUCGUAGGCGGCCAACUAAGUCGGACGUGAAAUCCCUCAGCUUAACUGGGGAACUGCGUCCGAUACUGGAUGGCUUGGAUUUGGGAGAGGGAUGCGGAGUUCCAGGUGUAGCGGUGAAAUGCGUAGAUAUCUGGAGGAACACCGGUGGCGAAGGCGGCAUCCUGGACCAAUAUUGACGCUGAGGAGCGAAAGCUAGGGGAGCAAACGGGG
This 254-nucleotide ribosomal RNA is filed under the name uncultured bacterium. Its description in RNAcentral is "partial 16S ribosomal RNA". It matches the Rfam family "Bacterial small subunit ribosomal RNA", at positions 524 to 777 of the family's 1533-position model. The record is from RNAcentral.